Molecule: ribosomal RNA, 848 nt
Filed under: Dactylogyrus latituba
Lineage: Eukaryota; Metazoa; Platyhelminthes; Monogenea; Dactylogyridea; Dactylogyridae
Description: partial large subunit ribosomal RNA
Rfam family: Eukaryotic large subunit ribosomal RNA
Source: RNAcentral
GGAGGAAAAGAAACUAACCAGGAUUCUCCCAGUAACGGCGAGUGAACGGAGAUUAGCCCAUCGCCGAAGUCUAUUCACUGUUGUGGACAGGACAAUGUGGUGUUCAGGCGUGUACCCUGGGAGUGCUUGCCUACUCGAAGUCCAACUCCGAUUAUGGCUAGGACCAUGCCCAGAGCGGGUGAAAGGCCCGUUCGGGUAGGUUGUUGCAAUUGAAUGCGCUCCUCAGAUGUGCAUGCUUUCGAGUCGGGUUGCUUGAGAAUGCAGUCCAAAGUGGGUGGUAAACUCCAUCCAAGGCUAAAUACUGGCACGAGUCCGAUAGUAGACAAGUACCGUGAGGGAAAGUUGAAAAGUGCUCUGAAGAGAGAGUAAAUAGCACGUGAAGCCGCUUGCAGGGAAGCUGGUGGAGUCAAGCUUCAUGUUCGUGGGAUUGUCUACAGUGGCAUCGUUGUUGUUUGGGACGUGGCAUUGAGUGAGCCUGUAAACGGCUCUAUGCAUCUCGGUGCAUAUCAAGUGGUUCUGGUGAGGACCUUUGGACUGGUGCCUAUCUCCCUGCUCUGUGGCUUUAUCCCGCUGGACAUACAUCAUGGUCAAUAAGACAUGGUUCGUACUGUGUGAACGCUUAACUGUACUGUGGCGGGCAUUCGUGCUUGCCUGGUGCGGAAUGGCAGGUGGCUUGUGUAGGCUCUCGGGUCGGCAACUUGCUUAUUAGAGAUUUCGAUCUGCUAGUGUUCAUGUGUGAAUUUAUCAGUAUCGGCCCUAUUGUUGCUAUGGCGUGGUGUACUCUACGGAGUGUGUUGCGUUCGAGAACCAUGAUGCUGAGGUAGACCUUCCACCCGACCCGUCUGAGA